ACUUGGCUGGCUCAGUUGGUGGAGCACGUGACUCUAGAUCUCAGGGUUGUGAGUUCAAAGCCCCAUGUUGGGUA
This 74-nucleotide transfer RNA is filed under the name Ailuropoda melanoleuca (giant panda). It matches the Rfam family "tRNA". From Rfam's summary of the family: Transfer RNA (tRNA) molecules are approximately 80 nucleotides in length. Their secondary structure includes four short double-helical elements and three loops (D, anti-codon, and T loops). The record is from Rfam by way of RNAcentral. Lineage: Eukaryota; Metazoa; Chordata; Mammalia; Carnivora; Ursidae.